Molecule: long non-coding RNA, 2968 nt
Filed under: Sus scrofa (pig)
Lineage: Eukaryota; Metazoa; Chordata; Mammalia; Artiodactyla; Suidae
Description: lncRNA (ENSSSCG00045033684.1, ENSSSCG00055019486.1)
Source: RNAcentral
AUAAGUACAAGACGCAAAACUAAGAAAAAUAAUUUUUAAUAGUUAAAUUUAUUUAAAAAGCCCAUCAACUUUAAUUUGUGGUGGUGCAGAAGUUAGAUCUGAGAAGAGGGUUUUAAACUACAGUAGACCAAGACCAACUUAGAAGAAUAUCUCGAAGCUGUAGAGGGAAGUAAAUUUAAAAUCACAGCAAAAAGCUACUAAAAAGACUGAUGUAAAAAUUAAGGUAGACGGAAGAGUUAAAAAUUUGAAAGGCCUUAAAUCCAUACAGUAGUUUAGUUUCUUCUGGAAAACUUAAAGGACGAUAAAUUCAACAGCGAGGAUAACCAAGUUAACAUUUUUUGCAUUGGACUUUGAGCUAAGAUGAAUUUCUAAACCCUGAGGACUAGGCGCUAAUUAACAGCUGACCAGGUGCUACACAGAAGUGGAUUCAGAGAACCUAGGAAGACAGCAGCAGACAGGAUUCCAGGAGCCAGUUUUUGGUGAAACUAGGACUGAGGAGCGAGCGGCAGUUCGUGAAGAUAGGAAGGAGGAGCCCGGGAGCCAGUGCGAUUUGGUGAAGGAAGCUAGGAAGAAGGAAGGAGCCCUAACGGUUGGAGGUGAAGCUAGGAGAGGAUUCCAGGAAGGAGGAAGCCAGUGCGAUGUGGUGAUGAAGCUAGCGUGCGGCUUGGCGGCGUGGCUUGGCAACCCCGCGGAGGAGGCGAGCAGGCGGUGUGGAGGCUAGAUAGAGCGUCCUAGAGCGGCAGCCCAGUGUGCAAGGCCGGCAGGGAGAGCCAGUGGUGUGGUAAAAAUCCGUGAGGUCGGCAGUAUCGUGGGUUCUGCUUUGUUUCUUCACCUUUUUUUGGUAACAGUACGGUAAUCUUUGUUGUAUUUCCUAAUGGUGAUGGGGGAGCUGUGUACUUAAGCAUAAAGGGUUUUAUGGGGAUGUAGGCCGAUUUUCGGGUGUUGUAGGUUUCUCUUUUUCAGGCGUAUUUUCUCAUCUUGUCUGAAGCUUUUGAGGGCAGACUACCAAGGCCCGGAGGAAUAGUAGAUGGCAAGUGUUUUCGUUUUUAACCAAUAUGAGGGAAAACAAAUGAAUUUGAUAGAACAACCUUGAGACAGUUUCAGCCAGCUUUGUAAGCAGGUUUUAUAUUUAGCUUGGUAAUGAAGCAUUUCCGUUUUGUGAGUAGAUGACUUAAUUUUCUUUCUCAUUCUCUAUUCUAAGUUACCUAUAUAUAUAUAGUUGGGUGUGUAAUUCGGGGGGGUAAAGGUUUUGGGGGGGCAAAAUAUGUUUUGAGUUCUUUUCCCCUUAGGUCUGUCUAGAAUUCCAAAGGCAAAUGACUCAAGGUAACAGGAAAAAAGAAAAUCCAGUAUCAGGAUAAUCAGAACACCACAGGUUUACAGUUUGUAGAAACUAGAACACGAGCAGCUCUCACUUAAGGUCUGUGAUGGAACUCCAGUGGAGAAAUGGCUGGUACUUUUUCCACCCCUUAAUCAGAUUUUUUUUUAAUUAAAGUAUGUAACCGGUUAUUUUUACUUGAAGUAUUUUGGGGUGGUCUUAACAGGGAAGAGGGUGGGGGAGAAAAUGUUUUUUUCUAAGAUUUUCCACAGAUGCUAUAGUACUAUUGACAAACUGAGUUAGAGAAGGAUUGUACUGCUAUGCUGUUGGCACCAAACACCUUCAGGGAUUGGAGCUGCUUUUUUCCUUGGAGUAUUCCCAGUGAAGCUGAAAUAUACAGCACAGUGCAGCUUUGGUUCAUAUUCAGUCAUCUCAGGAGAACUUCAGAAGAGCUUGACUAGGCCAAAUAUUGAAGUUAAGUUUUCAAAUAAUGGAACUUUUUAAGAUGCCUUUUAAAGGGGAGGGGCAAGUUUUGGCAAUUAGUUGGCAGUGGCCUGUUUUGGUUGGGGUUGGGUGGGUUGGGUUUAGGUAAUUGUUUAGUUUAUGAUUUCAGAUAACUCAUGCCAGAGAACUUAAAUACUUAGGAUGGAAAAACUAAAGAAAUCUCACCUCCCAAGUUGGCAAGUAACUCCUGAUCCUCUAGUUUCUUGUUUUACCCCAAUUUUUGAACUGGACAGCUGGGAACUUCAAAGAUUCACUGGAUUUAAAGUGUAGGGCUUGGGAAAGGAAAGUGUUGGAUUGGGGGUUGGUCUAGCCCACUGGGUUGACCAAGAUAAAAACUUGGGGAAUUGUUUAAACACUAAAGUUGUUUGGAUAUGGUAGUGUGUGGUUCUCUUUUGGAAUUUUUUUCAGGUGAUUUAAUAAAACUUAAUACUACUAUAGGAGCUUCAGAGCAAAGGAAGUGGCUUAAUGAUCCUGAAGGGAUUUCUUCUGAUGGUAGCUUUUAUAUUAUCAAGUAAGAUUCUAUUUUCAGUUACAUAAGCAAGUUUUUUAGUAUAGGAAAUUUUUGUAUGGCUGCGAGACAAGAUGUAAAGACUUUUUUCAGAUAACAUCUUCUGAGUCAUACCCAGCCUGGCAAUAUGAUGGCCUAGAUGGAGAGGGGAACAGCUCCUUGACAGGUUUCUCUAUCAGAAGAGUUGCUUCAUAUCAUCUGGGAGCAGAAAACAGCAGGCAGCUGUUCACAGAUAAGUUUAACUUGCAUCUGCAGUAUUGCAUGUUAGGGAUAAGUGCUAUGUUUAAUAAGAGCUGUGGAGGUCCUAGGUCCCUUACUCAAGGGAUCUCAGGAUUUUGAGGAAUUUUCCCAUCCAGCCUUUUAAAAUGAGACAGGCCUUAUGCCUGUGGGCUUCCAUGAUGGGCUAACUCACUUCACUCGAGGCAAGUAAUUCCUUAAAGCCUCUUGAGAUUAAUACCUUAAUAAUCAAGGAUAAUGUUGAUAAAAUAAAAAUUUGUUUAGCAUUGAUUCUUGAAAACCCUAUGAAAAGAUAGCAUAAUGUGCUGUUAACCAGAAUCAGAUAUGUUAACCUUGCUAAAAUUUAAAUGUUAUGUGUAUUGUGCAGAAAACCGUAAAAUCACUCAAAAUAAAAUACUUUAUUU